Molecule: ribosomal RNA, 508 nt
Filed under: uncultured bacterium
Lineage: Bacteria
Description: partial 16S ribosomal RNA
Rfam family: Bacterial small subunit ribosomal RNA
Source: RNAcentral
GACGAACGCUGGCGGCGUGCUUAACACAUGCAAGUCGAACGGGCCUUGUCCCCUUUUUUUUUGGGGGUGGGGUUAGUGGCGAACGGGUGAGUAACACGUGAGUAACCUGCCCCUCACUUCUGGAUAACCGCUUGAAAGGGUGGCUAAUACGGGGUGUUCUGGCCUGCUCGCAUGGGUGGGUUUGGAAAGAUUCGACCGGUUUUGGUUGUUUUGGUGGGGGAUGGGCUCGCGGCCUAUCAGCUUGUUGGUGGGGUGAUGGCCUGCCAAGGCUUUGACGGGUGGCCGGCCUGAGAGGGUGGGCGGUCACACUGGGACUGAGACACGGCCCAGACUCCUACGGGAGGCAGCAGUGGGGAAUAUUGCACAAUGGGCGCAAGCCUGAUGCAGCGACGCCGCGUGAGAGAUGGAGGCCUUCGGGUUGUGAACCUCUUUCGCCAGUGAAGAAGGUCCUGCUCUUUGUGGUGGGGUUGACGGUAGCUGGGUUAAUGAAGCGCCGGCUAACUACGUG